GACGAACGCUGGCGGCGUGCUUGACACAUGCAAGUCGAACGGAAAGGCCUGCUUUCCCUUGUGGAUUGCGGGUACUCGAGUGGCGAACGGGUGAGUAACACGUGAGUGAUCUGCCCCCAACUUGGGUAUAAGCCUGGGAAACUGGGUCUAAUUCCCGAUAGGACUGCAGGGUGGUGCCUGUGGUGGAAAACGAUUUUCUAGUGGUUGGGGAUGAGCUCGCGGCCUAUCAGCUUGUUGGUGGGGUAAUGGCCUACCAAGGCGGCGACGGGUAGCCGGCCUGAGAGGGUGGACGGCCACAUUGGGACUGAGAUACGGCCCAGACUCCUACGGGAGGCAGCAGUGGGGAAUAUUGCACAAUGGGCGGAAGCCUGAUGCAGCAACGCCGCGUGGGGGAUGACGGCCUUCGGGUUGUAAACUCCUUUCGACCGCGAGGAAGCCACCUGGUUGGAAGGGUGGUGACGGUAGUGGUAGAAGAAGCACCGGCUAACUACGUG
This 494-nucleotide ribosomal RNA is filed under the name uncultured bacterium. Its description in RNAcentral is "partial 16S ribosomal RNA". It matches the Rfam family "Bacterial small subunit ribosomal RNA", at positions 28 to 507 of the family's 1533-position model. The record is from RNAcentral.